GGAGAGGUGUCCGAGAGGCUGAAGGAGCACGACUGGAAAUCGUGUGUACGCUAAUUACGUACCGAGGGUUCGAAUCCCUCUCUCUCCGCCA
This 91-nucleotide transfer RNA is filed under the name Thioploca sp. RNAcentral's name for it is "tRNA-Ser". It matches the Rfam family "tRNA". From Rfam's summary of the family: Transfer RNA (tRNA) molecules are approximately 80 nucleotides in length. Lineage: Bacteria; Pseudomonadati; Pseudomonadota; Gammaproteobacteria; Thiotrichales; Thiotrichaceae. The record is from RNAcentral.